RNAcentral lists this long non-coding RNA (2504 nucleotides) under Zalophus californianus (California sea lion). RNAcentral's name for it is "lncRNA (ENSZCAG00015000255.1)". The record is from RNAcentral. Lineage: Eukaryota; Metazoa; Chordata; Mammalia; Carnivora; Otariidae.
UUAACGGAUACACCUGAUUUCUUAGUUCCAGCAACAGUUUCACCGAUCAGCUCUAGUGGCGGCUUUCCAGCUGUAUCUGGCCCAUGGGAUGUUUUCUUCUUAGGAUGGAGCUACUAUCAAAAUAGCCCUGCCUCCUGGGAUGGACCCAGAGUGCUAGCGCAAGGCCUUGUGCCCAGUGACACUCCCAGCUUUUUUUGGAUCUGGUCCAGAUUGGCUCCUCAACUGGGAAGGCUUAGCCCAUUCCCUACCCAGCUCACAGUGUGCCCAGAGAAAAACUGGCUUUGGAUGAUAGUUCUUGCCCUCCUACACAAAGUAUUUAAAUUCAUUCAAAAUCAUUAUUGCUCCAAAAUUUUUACCUUCCACACAAUGGACUAUGAGUACCUCCUUCCUGGGAUCUGGGCUUUAUUCAUAAUCCCUGGACCUGGCACAGAAAGCAAGGUGCUUAAUAAAUACUGUUUAUAAAUGUUUAAACACGCUUGCCCAAAUGAGGAUGAAAUUUGCUAUCUGACUUGGCCUUUCUAAUUAUGUAUUCUCAAAACUGAUUGAAGCUUGCAUGUGUUUAUCAUGUAGUACUUAAUUACACAUGGGCAUGUGUGCUUCAUUGUUUAUUUCAUGUGUGGUAGCCAAUCUCCAAGAUGAUUCUCACCUGGGAUUCAUACCCUUGCUUGGUCCCCUUCCACACUGAACAGAGCUCACCUGGGUCACCAUGAAAGUAUCUCAAACAUGACACAUUCUGACCUCCAAGGCUGGGUCAUAAGAGACAUUGUGGCUUCCACUGUACUCAUUUUGGAUCCCUCAUCUGGAAGAAUCCAACUGCACAGCAUGAGCGCACUCAACCAGAGGUCCAUGUCGUGGAACUGAAGCCUUCUGCCAACACCAGCACUAACCCGACAGCCAUGUGAAGGAACUCUUUUGGAAAUGACCCUCCAGCGCCAGUCCCGCCUUCAGAUGACCACAGCUCAGUAUCUCGACUGCAAGCUCAUGACACCCUCUGAGUCAGAACGACCCAGCUGAGCACUCCUCAAUUCCUGACCCACAGAAACUGUGUGUGAUAAUAACUGUUCAUUGUUUUAAAUUACUGAUGUUUGGGGUUAAUGUGUUACACAGCAACAGAUAGCUAAUAUAAUGGGUGACAGGCUCUUCUUACCAAAUAGAUGAUAAGCAUCUUAAAAAGAAGAAUCAUAUCUUUCAUUUCUUUCAGUGACUCGCAUUGUAUUGAGAUAUUAGUCAAAAGAAAUGAUGGUUUUGUGCUUCACAAUUACCUUCUAGUCAAAUCAACAAGUAUUUAAUGCCCACCAGACACUCUCUAGGAGCUAAGGAAAGCAGUAAACAAAAAGGAACAAAGUAAAUGCUAGUGGAUAAGACCUAUAGAAAUUAAAAAAAAAAAAUAUGGACCAGGUCAAUGAAGAUAUGAAGCCAAGAAGAAAAAUCAAAGAUGGGGAUGCUAUUUUAUGUAUUUGAUAUAGGGUGUCAGGAAAGCUUUCUCUGAUGAGACACUUAAGCAGAGAACUAUGCAUGUGUCUGGGAAGGAGCAUCCCAAGCAAGGAAAUUGCAAGUUCAAAGGCCAUGAGACUGGAAGAAUGUAGCCCGUUCACUAAGACCCAUAUGGCUGAGGCUGAGUUCACCAUUUGUUGCAGAUUUCACUAGUUAGUUCAUUGUGUUUCUCACCAGUCCAACUACACAUUUAAAUCUCUCUCAGUGGCUUGGACUCCUCUUUCUCUUGUUUCCUGAAUUUGAAUUGGGCACUGGAUGUUGGUGUAACAGACCUAUUAAUGUAAAUGAAUCAUUAUAUAAACAUGAACAUGGCUAACGAGUCAAAAUAGGCUAAUAUUUGUAGCUGGAAUGGAGAAUUAGAAAAUUCACUGAUUGCAAUCUUCCUUUCAUUAUUUCUGCCACUUGAAGCUUUCUGACUUCAUUAAAGCCAUUAAUGCCCACCAAUAAAUUACAUAGCUUUUGUAGUAACACAAAUAUGUGUGAAUGUUUCUGACAUUGCAGGAAAUAAUCAGGCUCAAUCAAUAUAUGUUUAUCAAGACAUUAGGUCUCAAAUCGAUGAGUAAUUAGCUCUCCCAACAGGAGAACAAAUAAAACUCUGUUUCCUAAAUGUUCCUGUCAUUCUAUGCCACGAAUUUCACCUCUUUUCCCUCUCUUGCUGCAAGAAACACAUGUCAAAAUGAAUCGAGUGAUCACUGACUAAUGAGAUCUGCUUUGAUUACAGCAUGUUGGUGAUCAUAAAUAAAUGAAAUUGUGUUUGUAUUUCAUAGAGAUCUGCACUAUUUUAAUCUUGCAUUUCACCUCAGAUAAACAAGUUUAUCUUUAAUAGGUAAACACCCCUCUGAAAGGCAUUAGGCAGAACUUUUUAAAAAUCUUUUAUUGUUAUGUUAAUCACCAUACAUUACAUCAUUAGUUUUUGAUGUAGUGUUCCAUGAUUCAUUGUUUGUGCAUAACACCCAGUGCUCCAUGCAGAACAUGCCCUCUUUAAUACCCAUCACCAGGCUCACCCCUCC